UACAGAGGCCUCAAGCGUUGUUCGGAUUCAUUGGGCGUAAAGGGUGUGUAGGUGGCGCGCUAAGUCGGGUGUGAAAUUUCGGAGCUUAACUCCGAAACUGCAUUCGAUACUGGCGUGCUUGAGGACUGGAGAGGAGACUGGAAUUCAUGGUGUAGCAGUGAAAUGCGUAGAGAUCAUGAGGAAGGCCAGUGGCGAAGGCGGGUCUCUGGACAGUUCCUGACACUGAGACACGAAGGCCAGGGGAGCAAACGGG
This 253-nucleotide ribosomal RNA is filed under the name uncultured bacterium. RNAcentral's name for it is "partial 16S ribosomal RNA". It matches the Rfam family "Bacterial small subunit ribosomal RNA", at positions 524 to 776 of the family's 1533-position model. The record is from RNAcentral.